Molecule: ribosomal RNA, 483 nt
Filed under: uncultured bacterium
Lineage: Bacteria
Description: partial 16S ribosomal RNA
Rfam family: Bacterial small subunit ribosomal RNA
Source: RNAcentral
GACGAACGCUGGCGGCGUGCUUAACACAUGCAAGUCGAACGCUGAAGCUCAGCUUUUGUUGGGUGGAUGAGUGGCGAACGGGUGAGUAACACGUGAGUAACCUGCCUCCUUCUUUGGGAUAACGUCCGGAAACGGGUGCUAAUACUGGAUAUUCACUGGUCUUCGCAUGGGGGUUGGUGGAAAGGGUUUUUCUGGUGGGGGAUGGGCUCGCGGCCUAUCAGCUUGUUGGUGGGGUGGUUGCCUACCAAGGCUUUGACGGGUCGGCGGGCUGGGAGGGUGACUGGUCACAUGGGGGGUGAGAUUGGGCCCAGACUACUACGGGGGGCAGCAGGGGAGAAAAUAGCGCGAUGGGUGGAAGACUGGUGCAGCGACGCAUCGAGAGAGAUCGAGUGCGUCAGGUUGUGAACCGCUUUCGCUCAUGGUCAAGCCGCUAAAAUAGUUGUGGUGAGGGUAGUGGGUAAAGAAGCGCCGGCUAACUACGUG